AUUAGACACAAAUGUCUUCUGUAGUUGUACUGCGUCGCUGGUAGAAAAUAAUUUCUCAUGGUUCGGAGCUCUGGCAUACCCCUCCGACGCCGACGGUAAGAAAGAUCUGCGAGCAGUUCAUCUGAGUUACUUAAAUGGAGAACUUCUAGAGAAACAGAAAGGAAUCCACUGCAAAAUCUAACCUCAGUUGAUGAUGAUAGAUAAAAGACUCUGGUAACAGUUUUGGCAAGAAGAUGCUUUAGCUUUUACCAUAUGAUGCAGGGGAGAUGAAUGGGCUUUGGUGCUUCUUGACCUCAUGGUGAGAACGGCACAGCGUAUUAGAGGAAGGAAUUUAGGGACAUUUGGUCAUAGAGGUGCAAGGUCACUACGAACUUUUUGAUAUGAGGACCUUCUAAUUGAAAAUUGAUCGGUAAGUUUAUCUAAUUUCUUGUGCUUAAUGUGUUGCUGAGUCAGAUUAGACGGUGGGAUUAACGUAAACUAUAGAAAAAAUUUACAUUUGAGGUGAUAGCAUGCAUUCAAAUUUGCGUCUUAGGUAUAAAUUACACAAGUAUGAGCUCUGUCUAACCCACUUCCUGAAGAAAAAGCAGUAAUCCUGUAAAAUUCCUGAAGACUUACCUCUGUGUCUCCCCGCAAGAACUUUUUUGAAGAGAGAAGCAAUUUGAUGACUACCGCCCAAUGUCCAAUAUCCAGCCUUUCAUAAUGGAUUACACCCCAUUAUGUGGUUUAAUUUUGCUAAACAAUCCUCUCUCUCCUCUCUCAAGGAAUAAAAUAAGCCCCAACAGUUCACAUUUUAGGGGAAGAAAGCUAGUAGAAUAUGGCCCAAAUAAGGUAAAAGAAUAAGAUAAGAGUGCAUUAGUGGGUGGUGCAUUAACAUUUUUGGUUGCCAAAAGGCGCAUUUCAAUGGAAAGAUGACCUAGAAAGGGCCUUCGUACCACAGCUAAGAACCCAUAAAUAUGCCCAUCUUUUUGUUGGUUAUUCUCAAGAAUUAAUGAUGUGGGGGAAGUUCUUAACUAUUGGUCUCUGACCCUUGUUGUAAGAUAGUGUCUUUUACAAAGAAAGAUUCACCCAAGAUUAAGGCCAACUGUUUACAACUAAGUUCUCUUUGUGGGUCUGUUCCUGAAGGGCAUGGGGACUUAUCCAUUCCCAAGGUUCAGGGCAUUUUUCAAACUCUGAUUUGUCCUUAAUCCUGUCAACACCCUAAACAUAAUGUAUAAUUGCUCCAUCUUAUGUGAAGGGCAGCCUCUCUAAUACAAUAAAAUUCUGUUUUACAUAAAAAUACGGCCAAAAUAGAAGGGUUUUUUUUUUUUAUACAAUAACAAAAAUAAACACUAUCAAGCUAUAUCUAAAUACUUCUAAGAUGAGUGUCUCAGAGUCUUUGGAGUGUUGUAGGAUGCUCUCUGAAAAUUAACCUUGUGCACAAUGCUAAAUUUUAUAAAAUUUUAAUUUUUGCUAUUCACGAGAACAUAUAACAUUCAUUUUUUUGAAUAUGUAACAGGUAAACUCGUGCACCAAUUUAAGAAUAUUGUUUUGAUCCUCAGGACAUUAUCCAACUUGUCAACCAAAUCCUAGGACAGCCUGGUGCCACAAACUGUACUUGAACCGAAAGGUCACCCACCAUUCCAUUUGGUUAUUUCUCAUCUGCAGUCUGCAGACCUUUUAGGAGCCCCAAAAGGCUCAAAAAGCCCUAAAAAUUUGUACCCCAAAAAGAAAGGGUCCCCUGCCCCAUCCCAUUGUUUUAGUGGGAUACUAACACAAAACAAAAAACAGGGUUCAUUGUUUCGACGUCAUCCAACACUAAAUUUUGAAGUGUUGGCUGUCCUUCUCCCAAAUUCAUAACAAACCCCACCACAACCAUCUGCCUUUUAUCAUCACCACUGUGCACAACUACUUCCCUACAGUUUUGAAAUAUAUCUUUACGGUUUCAAAUCUUUAUGGAAGAGAGUUUCUAUGCAAAUUUUUACAGGUUUAUAUGCAAAUUUUUACAUGCUUAUUUGAUGUGCGUAAUACGUCGACUAUUAUAUACAUAUGUGUGUGCGCGCGCGCCAAUGUUCUCUAGAGUGUACUUACCUGGUGAGCAAGAGGCUGAAUAUUCUGGCUGGCAAAGAGUUCAGACACGUGUCCCCGCGGACGGUAGAGAGCACAGAUAAUGAUUCAAUGCCAUGUCACGCGGUGACUUACCCAACAAUAAAAAUUCAUAUAGUUCUAAUUAAUUAGUUACUGCCUUUAUGCUAAGUUGCUGUUUGUGGCUGCCAUUAGUGACAAAAUUUUGUUGGAGAUUCAAUGGUGCGUGCCACUCGUAUGGCAUGGGCCAAUUGUUUCAUGGCACAUUAUUGCCAUACAAAAUCUACUUUGGACCUUCCUAACAUUUUAAGAACUAAAGUGAUGCUUUUGUGGAAUUUUUAUAUAAAAAAUUUAUCAACAAUGGGUAUAGCAUAAGUCACUUCUAUAUAUUUUUCUAUUAUUCGUACAAACAAUUUAUACAAAAUAAUAUGGUUUACAAAUAUUAAUAGGUAGAAAAAAACCUAUAAUAAUGCCUCAUACUUGAAAUAAUAUACCGUCGCAUGAUGGUCCUAUAAACUUACAAAAGAAUAUAAUUUUUUUUUUUAAAGAAAACAUUCAAUUUAAUUGUAGUAUGGUAUAUUAAGCUUGCUUUUUUUUUUUUUUUUUAUCUAUCAUAUGUCAAUUAUAUCUUGUAAUGCAUGAUAGUGAGUAGGGAUAAAUUCUAUUUUUUAUUUUAAAUUUUUCUGGUAAGAUUUAAUUAGACUUAGUGUCACGUUAACACUUGAUAUAAUAUCACAUUUGUAUUAAAUAUUAAAUUCUUCUGGCGCCUCCUUAUUGGUUGGAGCUGAGCAUGGGAUUGCUGUGUGGAGGAUGACUGGAAAUGCAGAGGUAAUUAAUAGGAAGGCAUAUAUGCCCCCAUGGAGUUAAAUUAGCAGAUUGAACAUAUGGUCCUGGUUGUUUUCCUUAAGAGUGGUUACCCACCAAAUUUCUGUCCCAUGAUGAAUAAAUUUAAUUUUUAAAUUAAGAAUAUUCUCUGAAAAGAUGCUUAGCAGAUUUUCUUUUUGAAAAAAAAAAAAAACACGAAUCAGUGAUCCCUCCUGCAUGCAUCAUCUCAGUGGGAUCUGCUGCAGCACUGACAAGACAAAAAUGUAUAUUCAUGUAGAUUCUAGUGCCCUUUUCUUUUUUUCUCUUAUUUUUUUUGGUUGCUAAAUCAUGUAGAUUCUAGUUCUUAACACAAUUGCAUAUAUCAUGGUAGUAUGGUGCCUGCCUUAGAUCUUUUCUUGUACCAAAACUAAGCCAGACAGAUCAUGGAUCAUGGCUACUGCAUAAUCAUAAUCCAAAUCUUCUGCUUUCACCAUAUGUGUUAUGCUGGAAUGUUAUGUUGUCCGGGCAAAAUGAGAGGGGCGGGGGGCGUGGGCCCCACUCCCUCCCCCCUUGCAUGCCCGCAUGGGUCGGGCAGAGAACAAAUCUGAUGUGUUAUAUAUAUAUAUAUAUAUAAUAGAUAUAUACUGGGAUGGAUCAUGGAUAGCACUUUGCCAUGUUGCAAUCUCUAAUAACUUUGACAUUAACUUAAUGUUGAUUGCUGAUUGAUGCUUAGAGAUGUUUCGUUAAAUCAUGGAAGAUCAGUAACUUUGUGACCAACUUGAAACGCCAGGAUUGAAGGGUCUAUAAUCCCACUAUUUCAAUCUGUUUGAAACUCACUUGUAUCAUACUUAAAUGGGCAUUUCCAUGCGUAAACUGAUAGUCUAUUGUUGUUAUAUAUAGUGGACUUGGUGGAUAUAUAUACAUAAAUACAUAUAGUACAUUUGAUUAUAUUUUUUUCUUUUUCAGCAUAUUUGAUCAUCAUGUGAAAGACAUUUUAAUUUGAACAAUAGAUCGAUGAAUAU
Long non-coding RNA from Diospyros lotus (date-plum), 3887 nucleotides. RefSeq lists it as uncharacterized. Lineage: Eukaryota; Viridiplantae; Streptophyta; Magnoliopsida; Ericales; Ebenaceae. The transcript is spliced from 4 exons. The record is from RefSeq and is a predicted model, not a curated record.